AGGUAAUGAGCUUGAUAAAGUAUAUAUUUUGAAAAUAUAAGAUAGAGUUAAAAUAAUUUUAUUAUCUA
This 68-nucleotide transfer RNA is filed under the name Dolichogenidea sp. n. SNS-2016. RNAcentral describes it as "tRNA-Ser". The record is from RNAcentral. Lineage: Eukaryota; Metazoa; Arthropoda; Insecta; Hymenoptera; Braconidae.